This 1837-nucleotide long non-coding RNA is filed under the name Aplysia californica (California sea hare). RNAcentral's name for it is "pneumococcal serine-rich repeat protein". The record is from RNAcentral. Lineage: Eukaryota; Metazoa; Mollusca; Gastropoda; Aplysiida; Aplysiidae.
AGAAGUAUGGGAAAAUCCUAGAAAUCGCACUGACGUUUAUGUCGAUCCACAAGGACAUCACUGACAGCAUGCCCAACUUGAUCAAAAGAAUAAUGGACACUUUUGCUGCAGCAAAAGAACGAAAGGAAGACUUCUUCUUCAAAUAGAUUUUCUCAAAACAGGUAGGAUCAAGAUAACAUCUCAUUUACCAUGCCCUUGACAACUUCAAACUGUUUUAACCUAAUUGUGCACGCCCACUUUUAAGGCCCACGAGCCGCCCCUGAUUAUUACCAUUAUUCAUUAUUAAUAAUGAUUUUACAUUAUUAGUGGAGUUAUUCUUUUUGCUAUAGUUAAUGUUGUCAUCGUCGUCGGUUUUUUUCUCUCUUCUUCUUAUCAUUAUUCUAAUGUCAUGGAAAAACUGUCUAACUUAUCCAAACUUGUCAUUUUUCUCCUUACAGUUAAUUUUCUUAAAAAUUCGGGCCAACUGACUUCCGACGCAUAGAAUCUACUUUAUACAAACGUGCUCUGAACAAAACAGAUUUGGUACGUUCUGGUAAGGUCACCCUGAAAUUAUCUUGCAAAUAAAAUUAUACAUGGAUUAAGAUAAGGCGAAUGGCAGCUCUAAGUGGGAAUGAGAAACUGAAGAGGAUAAAAAAAAAGAAAGACAAACAAACUUUGAAGUGCUUGUCACAUAAACAUGGGUUGCAUGUUGACUUAAUAGUUAUCUUUGACGCAAUCAUCAAAAUACGCAUGUCAAAACAGCGCGUUUUGGGGGGCUGUUAUUGCGCAAAUAGUACCCAAAAAAAACAACAAAUUUUGGACCCGGAAGGACGCGUUGCCAUGAGUAACAAGAGUUAAUACAGGAUACACAACACUCGCCGAAUCUCCAUAAAAGUGCUGGACAUCCCGAAAUAAAGCGUGGACUUUCCUCGCAUCACCAACGCCUCGUGGAGACCGUAAAGAAUAGGCUUACUUGUCGAGACAGUUCCCAGAUAUCGCCCGAAGAUGAAGAUGAAAAUCUGCCUUAUACAUGCCGCCCUCGCCAUUCUUGCCAUUGGUGGAGAAGCUACAACAACAUCUGCAACGCAGACAACAGGGACGUCAGCAUCGACAACAGAUCCGUCAGCAUCAGCAACUUCAGCAAAGGCAACAGAUACGUCAGCACCAGCAACGUCAGCAUCAGCAACGUCAGCAUCGGCAAAAGGACCGGCAGCAUCGGCAGCAUCGGCAGCAUCGGCAGCAACGGUAAUAGGGCCGACAGCUUCAGGAGGUGGAUUAACAGAGGAAGAAAAAAAGAAGAUAAAGGAGGUCACAGAUAUAGCUGGUAAGGACCCGACUUGUUGCAGUGGUUCAGCACCGACAGGCUCAUUCUCAACCAAGAACGAGGGAUGCAGCUUUCUAAAGACGUACCUCGGAACAUGUGAUAAAAAAAAAGCAAUCUGUGAAACACAUAUCAAGAAAAUCACAGACGGCUAUAAUGCUUUGAAGUGUGGCUGUACCUUCCUCCAAGCGUCUGCACUGUUGGUGGCCAUGUUUGCCGUGAUGACGUCAGUGUGGUCUAAACGUGGCUGAAGGCACACAGUUAUCAAUGACGUCAGACUGAGCUGUCGCUCCAAAAGUCAUGACGUUGUCAUCUGAGGGAUUUUGAGACACUUUUCUAAAUUUCUAACACUAUUUAUUGUACUAUGGUUAUUUUACCUUACUUUUCAAACAUCUUAUUGCACUAAUUUGUUAUUUUAUAUAGAUCUAGUCUAAGACAAAAUCUCUUCAACACAAGAGAACUAUUUAUUUAAUUUACUGUGUCUUUUGUUAAGGGUUUUGCAUGUUAGCCUACAUGUAUUUUCUGUGGAGGGGGGGU